GGGGAACAGCAGGGACAGAUCAGUCUCAUUGGGGACACAAGGCCACGCCAGAGGGUUUAGUAGAGAGAUACAUGUAAAUACAAGGUAGGGACCGAUCAGUCUCAUUGGGGACACAAGACCACGUCAGAGGGUUUAGUAGAGAGAUACAUGUAAAUACAAGGUAGGGACCAGCAGGGACAGAUCAGUCUCAUUGGGGAUACAGGCCACUCUCUCUGACAUCACUUCUUCUGGAUGCAAACUACAAGCUCAGGGUCCGAAAUGGUACCCUAUUCCCUAUAUAGGGAAUAGGGCUCUGGUCGAAAGUAGUGCACUAUAUAGGGAAUAAGGCUGUGGUCUAAAGUAGUGCACUAUAUAGGGAAUAAGGCUCUGGUCUAAAGUAGUGCACUAUUAUAGGGAAUAGGGCUCUGGUCUAAAGUAGUGCACUAUAUAGGGAAUAGGGUGCCAUAGGGCUCUGGUCUAAAGUAGUGCACUAUUAUAGGGAAUAGGGUGCCAUUUGGGAAACAUCAAUAGAAUGGAUGAAAUCCUGCCAGAAUCACAACGUCAGGGGACCCUAUAAAGUCAAGGAUCCAGAGAGUGAUGUCGUAGUGAGACAAACCGCUCCAGAGGGGGGGUUGAAUAGUCAAUACAAGUCCUAUUGUAUUGGUUCUUAAUGAACAGUUUCAUUGGGUGUGUCUAAAACGUCUUCCUUCCCUCUGUCUCUCACUUCCUGUCCUUCACGAGAGCCUAUUAGAAGUCACAGGACAGAUGGUAGAUGGUAGACUAUCAGGGACUGUAUUCAUAAUGUAGAUGGUAGAUGGUAGACUAUCAGGGACUGUAUUCAUAAUGUAGAUGGUAGAUGGUAGACUCUCAGGGACUGUAUUCAUAAUGUAGAUGGUAGACUAUCAGGGACUGUAUUCAUAAUGUAGAUGGUAGACUAUCAGGGACUGUAUUCAUAAUGUAGAUGGUAGACUCUCAGGGACUGUAUUCAUAAUGUAGAUGGUAGACUAUCAGGGACUGUAUUCAUAAUGUAGAUGGUAGACUAUCAGGGACUGUAUUCAUAAUGUAGAUGGUAGAUGGUAGACUAUCAGGGACUGUAUUCAUAAUGUAGAUGGUAGAUGGUAGACUAUCAGGGACUGUAUUCAUAAUGUAGAUGGUAGAUGGUAGACUAUCAGGGACUGUAUUCAUAAUGUAGAUGGUAGAUGGUAGACUAUCAGGGACUGUAUUCAUAAUGUAGAUGGUAGAUGGUAGACUCUCAGGGACUGUAUUCAUAAUGUAGAUGGUAGAUGGUAGACUAUCAGGGACUGUAU
Molecule: long non-coding RNA, 1286 nt
Filed under: Salmo salar (Atlantic salmon)
Lineage: Eukaryota; Metazoa; Chordata; Actinopteri; Salmoniformes; Salmonidae
Description: lncRNA (ENSSSAG00000106414.1)
Source: RNAcentral